This is a long non-coding RNA of Selaginella moellendorffii, 416 nucleotides long. RefSeq lists it as uncharacterized. Lineage: Eukaryota; Viridiplantae; Streptophyta; Lycopodiopsida; Selaginellales; Selaginellaceae. The transcript is spliced from 2 exons. The record is from RefSeq and is a predicted model, not a curated record.
UUGUUUUUUAAUUUUCUCCUCUGGUGGAAUAUCUUCUGAGCUCCAACUUGGUCCAGAUCGUAGGAGGCCGUCUCUUCGAGACUAAAUAAAUAAAACAUCUCAGAGACUACGCUAAGGAGCUGCUUAUUCUGGCCAACUUAUCAUAGGAGGCCGCCAGAAGAAUAUGUAAAUGAGGGUGGAGCAGGACUUGAAGCAGCGAAAGAUAAAACCAGUGUCAGAGAUCAUAAGAAUCGAGCAAGUGGGAAUGGAAAAGCGUAAGAUGAUUUUAAAACUUGGAGACAAAGGGAGCAGGCUGAAACAGCUAAGAUCGAGCAGCAAAGAUUGAGCAGCUUAAAGACGAAAAAAUUUCUUAAACCAAGCAGGGGCAGCAGCUUGAAAAAUCGAAGUUUUAAGUUCGCCCAGCAACAGCUUCAAAA